Long non-coding RNA from Populus trichocarpa (black cottonwood), 2019 nucleotides. RefSeq lists it as uncharacterized. The transcript has 5 exons. NCBI's taxonomy places the organism in Eukaryota, Viridiplantae, Streptophyta, Magnoliopsida, Malpighiales, Salicaceae. The record is from RefSeq and is a predicted model, not a curated record.
ACUUGUACAUUGUUUUUUGAAGUAUAUUUGGGUUUUGUUGAUUAGUUUUUGAGAUUAAAGUUGAGUUAUUUAUUUAUUUAUGUUUUGAAUGGUUUAGAGUGAGAAAGAUGAGAAAUUGUGAUGUGGGUUUUGCUUGUUUUUGUUGGUUUUAGUGUUUUGUGUUGUUUGUUAGGAGAUUCAUGAAUUUGAACCUGAAUCAGGAAUUGGUAGAAGGAGGUUUUGCUUGUUUGUUUGUUUGAUUGAUGUGUGUAUAAUGGGGCAUUGCAAGCACUUGCAUUUGCUGUUGUUUUUUGAUUGAGAUAUCAGAUGUUGUGCUUAGGAAAACUAAGACUUGUUUCCAAGCAAAAUAUGAGCUUGCUGGGUUUUCUUUUGGGAAAUAACUUGGUGUGUUAUUAUUUUAUAUUAAUUAACAUUUGUGUAGCUUACAGUGUGUUAAAAAAUGAUUGGCAGGGGAUGUGUUUUUAGCCUUCCUACUCCAAAUGAUCCAUUCAAUGACAGGAAUGUUUGGCAAGUUGUGAACCUGAAUUUCUUGUGUCCACACCGGAGAAACUUUUGGAGCUUGUUUCCCUGAAGGCUAUGGAUUUAUCAGGGUUCUCCUUUCUGGUUGUUGGUGGAGUGGAAUCUCUUUAUAAAGGCGGUUGUCUUGAUGCUCUUAAAUCCAUUAGGCAAUCUAUUUCUGUUUGUCCCCGGGCUGUGGUUUUCAACAAUUUCCUUUAGUGGUUCAUGCCUUCUGGCUUUACAGAAUCUUCUCCUGGGAUCACUUGUUGAUUGUCUCUCAAUCUGUCUAUUCCCAGUCAAAGUGAAUGCGUUGUGCAAACAACAAAUGUGUGCACUUCUGACGAAAUAAGACUUAUAAAGGGAAUCCAAGUUUUGAAUCAUGCUUGUGACAGCCAGCUCGCCUCUCAACCCUUAAAGGUGCUAUAUGUAGUUGGAAAUGAUAGCAACUCUUUCAAUUUAGUUAAGAUGCUCAAAAUCAAUGGUUAUACUGUCUCUACUGGCUCAAAUCACAAUAUUUCAGAUGAUGAUAACAGCAAAUGGGAUGUUAGAGGAUAGAAGGUAGACAAAAGUUUGAAUGGUACUACAGUAUAUAAAUGUUAGAAAUCAGGCUGUUAUGGAAUAAUGUAAUAAUAAUUACUACGGUGACACAUGUUAUAAAUACCAUCUAAUAAAACCAAGCUGAUUUUCUGCUAAGCUUCUCCUAUUCUGGUUUUAGACUUAAACUUCAAAUUGGGGUCGUGGAACAGAAUUGGGUAGCUUGAUUUUAUCCUGUUUGCUACCACUUCUAAGGUUGCUCUUCGGCACAAAGUUCUUCUAGUCUUGGGCUCUUAUAACUUAUUUUUGUUUGCUUUGUUCAGCCUGGAUAUGAAUGUCAGAAGGAAACCUCUGGUCUCCGUGAUCAAUGUGGAGCACAUCCUACUACUGAUUUAGCUUUCUACGAAACUGUAAUCUUUCCCAAUUUUGUUCAGUCAAUUGAUAAUUAUGUUCAAACCCUCACAAGAAUGGCCAGGCACACUAUCAAUGGCGUCUCCCAUAGCUUUUUAACCACAGAAGAUGCACCAAUAGCUGGACCACGUAUCAAAAUUCUUGAGCAAUGUGGGCAGGCAGUGCCUGAUGCCUUGAGAAACUUGCAUCUCACAUCAUCCAUGUUGGAAUCAUGAAGCUUCAAUUUUUGCUCAUCAUUACUUCAUCCCCAUUCUUUAUAGAUCCUAGAAUGUCUUCACCAGAAGCAACGAUUGCAUUGUCAGUACAAAGUUUCUAUUCUGGACGGGUCUCGCAAAUGGUGAUAAUUUAUAAUGUGCAACAUCCUCACAGUGGUUUUGAAGAUAAUAUAUAUAGAUGAGAGCCUGAGUUAUUUCUGGUUCCAUACAUGGUAUAGCAAGCCAGAAUGGCUGUGUUAGUGAAAAUUUGUGAACGUUUUAGUUUCUUUGAGUUGUCUUUCAUUCUCUUGGUGGUUACCUAACAGAAUGAUGUCACAGUUUUGUCUCCAGAAUAUAUACCACUAUCGUUUUUCACACUCAA